RNAcentral lists this long non-coding RNA (2535 nucleotides) under Triticum aestivum (bread wheat). RNAcentral describes it as "long non-coding RNA (TAES_LNC004437)". The record is from RNAcentral. Lineage: Eukaryota; Viridiplantae; Streptophyta; Magnoliopsida; Poales; Poaceae.
UUUUUUUUAAAGUUUUGUCCACUUGUCGAACGUAUGUGCAAAGAAAAGAAACCGGAACGAACAAAGGAAAUAGAUACGUACUUUUUUUUUGAGGGAAAAAUAGAUACGUACGUGUAAAGGAAACUUGAAACCUAAGGGAAGCAGCCGGCCGGCCGGCCCGUAUCUAUUUCUCAGUUGCCAAACGAAACAGAGCUGCCGGCCCAUAUGUCGAUUUUAUUUAUAGUUGCCAGCCAAUAUCGAGAGGACCCAUGGCAAAUUAAGGUUUCCUUGAGCGAAGAAAACAGCAGACGGCCAUUCAUGAAAACCUCAAAUGACUCGAAGGCCAGUAACUUCUCAAUCGGCCGAGACAACGGCAACGAGGGGAACUUUCAAAAGGUGCAGCCCCUCACUGGUCGCCGCCGCUGCACAUCGGCCACGGACGACGGCGAGGAGGUGAAACGGCCGAUGGGGAGGUGAGCCUGCCGUGCUUUGUGUUUCACGUUUAGUAAUCAUGCCACGGUCGAAUACCACCGAACAGGGCCGAUUGUGCAUGCACGUCAUCGUCGCCAUGGCCAUGCUAAGCAAAGAAAGAAGAGACAAGACAAGCAUCAUGCAUCAAUACAUGCUACGUCUAUCCUAAUCUGACAUGCAUAAUAUCUCUUUCUAGGUAUCUAAGGAAAUUACGAGCAUGCAUGCAUGGCUCAACCCGCAGGGUGCAAUCACUUGCUUUAUUUAUACUGACAUUACUUAGUCUUCAGUUUCUCGCAAAAGAAAAGUUAGUCUUGAGGCGGCUAAAAAAAUUAGGUGCUUUAAUACAAAUUAACACAGAUUUAUUUUGUGCAGACCACCUUCAUUGUGGGGAGUCAUGUGUGUUGUUUAACGUACUGCUUGGUAAUCGUGUGUUACAGAUAGGAAUGGUAUCAAAUAAUUACAUAUUAAGUGGUCAUGGUCAACUAAAUUGCUUAAAUGUGAUUGUUAUAUGAUAACUUUUUGUGUGUAAAGUUCAUUCCGGAAUCACUGAUUGAUGGACGAAAUUAUGAUGUCAAAUUUUUAUUCACAAUCUGGUCGGUGAAAUUGCUUAAACAUGGUUAUCAAAUCAGACAUCUAUGUUCUGAAGGUUUUAGCUGUAUCAUAUAUUUAGUUUAUUUAUCAACAUUGUUUCCCAUUGCAAUGCGCUGGCAUUUAACUAGAAACCUACAAAUAGAGAUUUUUAUAUAUAUACAAGUCAGAAGUUGCUAUACAUAUGCCUACGGAAGAUAAGAUUCCACAGCAGCAAUCAAACAAACUUUAAAUGUUCAUGCCAAUUAAUUUUUUAUACCUAUUACUAAAUUUCCCCUACUAUAGUUUGUUGUUCUUUCAUCGGAUAUUUUAGCAAUAUAUAGAUAUCACACCGGUCGCCUGGCAAAAGCCAGUGAAGACAGGCCAACAAAUGUUCUAACUUGAAAAUUCUCAAAAGUUCUUUCAUUUCUACACAUUCGCACAUCCCGAUUCUCACAGCCUAUUCUUUUUUCUCCCGUUGCAACGCACGGGCAUGUUUCCUAGUGAUGAACAAAUUGUGAUACACUAAUGCAGUACCACUUGGCUAAACGAUAGAGAAAUUCUCAACACCAUGGCACGCUGAGUGACUUGCUCUAAUUUUAAUCUAUCCAACCACCUCGGUUUAUUCCUUUAUGUCGAGCUUACUUACUUUAUUUGAAUAAUUCAUGAGGUCAAAUAUUUGAUGAAUUAUUUUCGGCACUGAACCAUGCACUAUUGUAUUGUUUUGGAUUUCACGGCUCAACCGAGCAGCGCGCGCCAAGGCGCGAUGCCUAUCUAGUUCAUGUGGUGGGUAGUCAACUAGUCAUCAUCUCAUGAAAGUAGUUCCAACAUGCCGACGUGUAGUCAAAAGCAUCAGGAUAAGUGGGUACGUUCGAAUUGUCCAGACAAACGCCCUAUUUUGGCUCCUCUCAGUUGCCAAUCCACAAGAUUUCAGAAAUCAACAUCAAACAAUGAGAAGCAAUCCCCCAAGCUAAGGCGUGCAAACAAGAUGUAGAUCAAGAAAGUAACACUAUACAAAAUGCACGAGAAGUAAUUGAAUCGAUUGGGCCAAAACUCGAAAGACAAACAGCAAGCUGCAGCAGCCCUGCAGCACCAAGGCUGUAGAGGCAAAGUGAACCUUUGGAGGCAAGCAAUGUAACUAUAUAGUUCAACAGAGCACAUCAUCAUUCUGAAGGAAAUAGCACAGUAUAGCAUUUCUGCAAAACUCAUGAUAGCAACCUACACCGAAUAUCUUCUUGACAUGAAUAAAGACCCAACCCAGACUACUGCUCAGAGAGCAAAUCCUACUCAUAAGAGCACCAUAGAUUUGAACUGGUUGUGCAGGCAGAUAACCCAAACACCCUAGUAACCACCCUUGAGAUCAUUGACCACAUCGUAGGGAAUGGGAGUGACGGUCUCAAUUGUGGUACCCUCGACCAUGAACCCAGGUUUAGGGCCGAGUGGCUGCCUCUUGGUGCUGAUGACCUCACCGCGCGCCUUGGCUUCCGCCUUGAGCUGGUCGUUCUUCACUUUCCUCAG